GUUGUAUGGUUAAGUGACUAAGCGUACACGGUGGAUGCCUUGGCAGUCAGAGGCGAUGAAAGACGUAGUAACUUGCGAUAAGCCCAGAUUAGGUAGUAACAACCAUUUGAGUCUGGGAUUUCUGAAUGGGGAAACCCACUUACAUAAGUAAGUAUCAUUAACUGAAUACAUAGGUUAAUGAGGCGAACCGGGGGAACUGAAACAUCUAAGUACCCCGAGGAAAAGAAAUCAACCGAGAUUCCGAAAGUAGCGGCGAGCGAAAUUGGACUAGCCCUUAAGCUUUA
RNAcentral lists this ribosomal RNA (284 nucleotides) under Vibrio parahaemolyticus. Its description in RNAcentral is "partial 23S ribosomal RNA". It matches the Rfam family "Bacterial large subunit ribosomal RNA", at positions 1 to 280 of the family's 2925-position model. Lineage: Bacteria; Pseudomonadati; Pseudomonadota; Gammaproteobacteria; Vibrionales; Vibrionaceae. The record is from RNAcentral.